UAGUUAGUCUAACUAAGCAAAAUGAAUUUUUAGUUUAACAUCCCGAAACUAGGUGAGCUACUUCGAAACAGCCACAAGAGCAAACCCAUCUCUGUUGCAAAAGAGUGGGAAGAUUUCUAAGUAGAGGCGACAAACCUACCGCACCAAGAGAUAGCUGGUUACUUAAGAAAAGAAUUUUAGUUCUACUUUAAGUUUAUUUUAGUCCCUUCAAACCUUAACAAAACUUAAAAGCUAUUCAAAUAAGGCACAGCUUAUUUGAAAAAGGAUACAACCUAUUAUAUUGGGUAAAAAUCUUAAGAAGAAUACCAAGUGGGCCUAAAAGCAGCCAUCUUUUAAAAAGCGUUAAAGCUUUAUAAUUAUUCUUUAAAAAUAACUCAACCACUUUUUAACCCAUUAUUAAUAUUGAGUAACUCCAUAAAUAUAUGGAUAAUCUAAUGCUAGAACUAGUAACAAGAAGUAGAACUUCUCCAAAAUGUAAACCUAGGCCACUUUAGACACCCUAUUGGCAAUUAACGUUUAUGAAACUAUUUUAUCAACAUUAUCAAGAAAACCCUAAACACUUCAACGUUAAACUUACACCAGAACAUUUCUGUGAA
Molecule: ribosomal RNA, 596 nt
Filed under: Guibemantis depressiceps
Lineage: Eukaryota; Metazoa; Chordata; Amphibia; Anura; Mantellidae
Description: partial 16S ribosomal RNA
Rfam family: Bacterial large subunit ribosomal RNA (bases 1-438)
Source: RNAcentral